GGUGUUUUUCAGCUCUAUGUGUCUCUGUUCUCUCUUAAUGUCCAGGUCUCUGAAUUAAAGAUAUAUACUAGGUACCUCUAUACCUCUAAGCUCACUGGCUGUUUUACAUAGUACCUAGCAGGUUAAAGCUAAUGAGCAGGCGUCCUCUUCUCUUUUGUGUCUAUAUACACUGCUCCAAAAAAUAAAGGGAACACAAAAAUAACAAUAGAUCUGAAUGAAUGAAAUAUUCUUCUGAAAUACUUUGUUCUUUACAUAGUU
Non-coding RNA from Pelobates cultripes (western spadefoot toad), 258 nucleotides. The record is from the annotation of a GenBank genome assembly. NCBI's taxonomy places the organism in Eukaryota, Metazoa, Chordata, Amphibia, Anura, Pelobatidae.